RNAcentral lists this ribosomal RNA (319 nucleotides) under uncultured eukaryote. RNAcentral describes it as "partial 18S ribosomal RNA". It matches the Rfam family "Eukaryotic small subunit ribosomal RNA", at positions 1470 to 1796 of the family's 1831-position model. The record is from RNAcentral.
CCCUUAGAUGUUCUGGGCUGCACGCGUGCUACAAUGGCGUUUCCAGCAAGUCUGCGAACCCGAGAGGGCCAGCGGAUCUUCGAAUUGGCGUCGUGAUCGGGACAGUCGAUUGCAAUUAUUUGACUCAGACGAGGAAUUCCUUGUAAUCGCGAUUCAUCAUAUCGCGCUGAAUACGUCCCUGCCCUUUGUACACACCGCCCGUCGCUCCUACCGAUUGAGCGAUCCGGUAAAUGUUUUGGAUUGGUGCCGGGGCGGCUAGCUGCCGGUCGCUACGAAAUUUUGUGAACCUUAUCGCUUAGAGGAAGGAAAAGUCGUAACA